GAUCUCAGAAUGAGCUGAAGAUCAGUGUCCCAAGUGUGACAGGGUAAACUCCCAAGAAGGUCCAUUGAGAGCCUCAAACCAUGUGUCUCCCGGGAAGUGACCUGAGCAGAAGAAAGAGCCCAGAUAAAAGAAGGGGAAGAGAAACACAGAAGAGCUCCUCACAGGACCACAUCAUGGGAGCUGAGCUUCCUCAGAGCCUUGCUGCUUCUAAGAUCCAGGUAAUAUCUUACCUUCCAGCCCAUGGAGGAAGGCCCAGCAAUGACAGAGCCCUAUGAGAAAAGAGUGCCAGUUGUAAAAGGUCUUAAUGUGCUGGAAGUCUGCCAUCCUCACCCUGAGAUCAGGGACCACCUGGACAGCAGCCUUUGCUGUGUGCAACCCCAGCCUGGCUCUCUGUGUCUUAUCUUCUGUUGCAACCUCCAGACCUCGAGAGAGAAGUAUUCAUUUGCUUCCAACCUGCCUCCCCCUGAGUAUCAACACUGCAUUGAACCCGGAGGGAGGGAAUCUCCCAAAGGCUGUCAUCUGCGUAGCCCCUAUGCUCACCCUGGCCUACCCUUUUAUGACCUCCUCAAAAUGAGUUCUGUGUGUUUGUCCAGAAAAGAUUACAGAUCUGAGGGUGCAUCCAGGAAUUGGCUGGCACAGAGCUCCUGAUGGUCCUUCCCAGGACUUCACUUAGUAAGGUUCCCGUUGCUAAGCAACAGAAAUGCUGGAACUGGCAUCAGUCAUCUGUCAUCCAGGAGCCCAGGUCAUAGGC
Molecule: long non-coding RNA, 751 nt
Filed under: Mus spretus (western wild mouse)
Lineage: Eukaryota; Metazoa; Chordata; Mammalia; Rodentia; Muridae
Description: lncRNA (ENSMSPG00010032414.1)
Source: RNAcentral